AAAAAGUAAAAUAGAUAAACUAGGAAACACAUCAGCACAGUUGUGGUAGACUGUUACAAUACUGGUAUAAGAUGAAUCACACCUCCCUGCAUCAGCUGCUCUUGACAGGGGGACUGCCAUGCUUUCCAGGAAGAGAUACUGUUUCCUUUCCCUUUGACUAGAACUGAACCUCUUACCAAGAGAAUGUGGCGGGAGAGGCGUGUAACUUCCAAGGCUAACCUUCCAAUCUGGCCCUCUUCAUACUCAGAGACUUCUGUGCUCUGAAGAAGCCCGGGAGGUGAGACUCCGAGAAGAGAGGAGUUCAUUUACCCCAGUCUCCAGAGAUCGCAGCGGUGGCUUUGCUCUGUGUGUCCUUCUGACCCAGCUCCGUGGGAUGAAAAUGUGCUACUUCCAGGACCAACCAAAGGAAUUCUGAUAUGUACACCUUUGUGGGUGACAAAGAUGGAGACCAUGGUGCACUGCAGAGGUUACAUGAAUUGAAGAUGGCAGUGCCUUUGGGUGGAUUCCAUUAAGA
Molecule: long non-coding RNA, 514 nt
Filed under: Canis lupus familiaris (dog)
Lineage: Eukaryota; Metazoa; Chordata; Mammalia; Carnivora; Canidae
Description: lncRNA (ENSCAFG00040021760.1)
Source: RNAcentral